Molecule: ribosomal RNA, 253 nt
Filed under: uncultured bacterium
Lineage: Bacteria
Description: partial 16S ribosomal RNA
Rfam family: Bacterial small subunit ribosomal RNA
Source: RNAcentral
CACGUAGGGUGCGAGCGUUGUCCGGAAUUAUUGGGCGUAAAGAGCUCGUAGGCGGUGUGUCGCGUCGGCCGUGAAAACCUGCAGCUUAACUGUGGGCUUGCGGUCGAUACGGGCAUCACUGGAGUUCGGCAGGGGAGACUGGAAUUCCUGGUGUAGCGGUGAAAUGCGCAGAUAUCAGGAGGACACCAGUGGCGAAGGCGGGUCUCUGGGCCGAUACUGACGCUGAGGAGCGAAAGCGUGGGGAGCGAACAGG